Sapajus apella (tufted capuchin) is the source of this 104-nucleotide small nucleolar RNA. RefSeq annotates it as small nucleolar RNA U13. The record is from RefSeq and is a predicted model, not a curated record. Lineage: Eukaryota; Metazoa; Chordata; Mammalia; Primates; Cebidae. The transcript has a single exon.
AUCCUUUCAUAGCUCCUGAGCAUGAUGAUUGGGUUUUCAUGCAUGUGUGUGAGAUGUGCCGCCCUGGAACCUUGUUAUGACAUUGGCACAUUACCUGUCCGACC